This 3179-nucleotide long non-coding RNA is filed under the name Oryzias javanicus (javanese ricefish). RNAcentral describes it as "lncRNA (ENSOJAG00000019822.1)". Lineage: Eukaryota; Metazoa; Chordata; Actinopteri; Beloniformes; Adrianichthyidae. The record is from RNAcentral.
AAUUGAGCAAAACAUCCGUUCAAAGCUCUUCAUUUCCAGACUGAAUCCUCCCUCAGAAAAGUUAGUCUUUCAAAUUUGCUUUCUCUUUCAAAAUAACUAACUGCAAAAGCCAUUUGGCUCCAGCUGUUACAAAAAUAUUUUCUGUUCCACCCACCACCCCCCCAAAAAAAGAAAGAAAAGAAAAAAAAAACGUCAGAAAACACUUCCACACACACACAUGCAGAGACUCAAGCAAUUAUUGUGUAACUCCAGUGACUUUCAUUUACUGUGUGCACCAUCAUGGUUAACAGAUUAUAUUGUUCACUUUGUCAAUAGACUUUAUUUCUAUAACACUUUUCAACCAGAAAUCUAGUUUUAAAAACUGCUCUUUGGUCCUCAUUUGGCUACAAUCGACUUCAUUCAUUCCAAUAGAGGAAACUUAAGGAACUAUGAACUAGUUGUGACAUCUUCAAGACAUUAAGGAAACACACACACAUGUGCAGCACACCCACUUUUUCUUCGGAAAUCUCAGUUUUUGGGGGGUGUGCUCCUAAAAGUCUACCUCCCUUCACUGUAACAAAUCCAGAGUGAAACUGCAGACAUUUCUGCUUGUUGAGCUUCACCCAGCAUGAAGGCAAGUACAUUUUGUUCUCUAAAACAGAGAUUCCUGGUCUAUGUUCGGCAUCUAUUGUGAAGUCCUUUUUGAUCUGUUUCUUGUUUGGAUCUUCUAUUUUCAGAACUUUUCACGUCUCUGCUCUGCGGCUUUGCCAUGGCUUCUUGUUCACUUUGCAACCGGAGGGUUCUGCCUCAGGAUUCACUGUAUGUGGGGAUCUUUUAGCAGCUGGUCAACGUGUGAUCCCUGCACAAAUCUACAGACCAGAAGUCGAGCCAUGGUCGUGUACCAGGCUUGUGAAACGACUCAGGGUUGCCCUUUAGACGAUGGAUGUGGGGCCGUUUUCGCUUGUAUUAGCAAAUCUCUGGUGUGCAACGGAGACCAAGACUGUGAGGGGGAUGGGCUCGAUGAGAAUGGCUGCACCAACCAACAAAAGUUUUCUGCGUGUGAACACACAGUGACCCCUCCUAAUGUUGAUCUAAUUGGUCUUGGGGUUGAUGUGGUCACUGGAAACCAAAGAGGCAGUGUCAUCAACACAAGGAGCUUUGGCGGCCAGUGUCGAACCAUCUUCAGUGGCGUCCACAAGGCUUUCUAUCGACUGCCUCUCAGCACCAUACAAUACAAUUUCUUGGUUAAAGUGCAGAACGACUUCAGUGAUGAGAUGUUCAGCAGUAAGUGGCAUUACGCCAAGGAUGUUGUCAACCGAGAAACGGUGACGGGGACCACGAAAGGAUAUAAAAACUACGACUUUCACGAGACACACGACACCUCUCAGUACCACAGGCUCCUAGUGUUAAAGAACGACAUAGAAGUAGCACAGUUCCAGAGCAACUCUCCACAGUAUAUCCCCAUUGCAGAGGAAUUCUGGAAGGCUUUGGCCAAACUCCCAUCCGUCUAUGACUACACGGCUUACAGGAAGGUUCUGGAGAGGUUCGGAACACACUAUGUGUCUCAGGGAAGCCUGGGGGGCUCCUUGAAAAUCAUUAUGUCCAUCGAUUCGGAAAGUGAAAAAUACCUGGCUGUUGAAUCAAUGAAGUACAAUGAAUGUGAGAAGAAGGUUCGCUUUAUCCUAAUAUUUCCCCUCAUCAUAACAAAGUGUAAAGGGGGGGAAAGAACUGAAGAUUGGGAGAGAUCUUAUUCCUACAACAACGUAGUGGCAAAAGUGGAAACAAAAGGAGGAGACGUCUCCCACUCCGCUGCGGUGCAGAGGAUGCAGCUUGACGACGCAAGCAAGAACUGGGAGAUGUACUCAAACUGGGCGGAUUCUAUCAGAUCCAUUCCAGAAAUCAUAAAACAAAAGCUGCGGCCGCUGUCAGAGCUGGUGAAGGACGUUCAGUGUGCCGGGGUGAAGAAGCUGUACCUGCGCAGAGCCAUCGAACAAUACCGUGCAGAGAGUGACCCCUGCCACUGCCAGCCCUGCAGAAACAAUGGCAUAGUUGUCAUGGAUGGUGACGUGUGCAAAUGCAUCUGCAAGCCUGGCACGUCAGGGGCGGCUUGUGAGCAAGGAAUUGAGGCUGAGGGCCAACGAGGAGUAAUCCACGGCAGUUGGACUUGCUGGUCUGCUUGGUCAGCAUGCUCCAGGGGUCAGAGGUCUCGAAGUCGCCAUUGCCAAAACCCCGCGCCCCAGAACGGAGGACAGCACUGCAUCGGUGAUACGGUUGAGAAGUCUUCCUGUGAUGAAGAAGAUCUGGAAUACCUGAAGACCAUGGAACCUCAGUGCUUUGACAACACUCUGCCACCAAGUCAGAAGUGUGAAACUCCCCCAGCUCUGAUCAAUGGCUUUAUUGUGGUAAAGAUUCAAAGAAUUUUGAAAAUCCAACAAUCCCAGAAUGCAGAGGUUCUAGCUUCUCCUACGAAAGAGGCUUAUGACAUCGGGGAGGCUGUCACCUUGUCUUGUCCGGAGGGCAGAAUCUUACAGGGAGAAGACCGAGUCCUGUGUGACUCCAGCUUGAAUUUUUCUCCAAAUCCUGCAGAAAUUACAUGCAGCCAAGUCGAAACCCUGCCUUCUCCCGUCACUCCCACAGUGAGCUGUGAGGCAUGGGAGAAGCCCUCCAAAGGCAAAUGUAUUUGCAAAAUCCCUCAUGAAUGCAGUUUGUCUAUGGAUAUUUGUGCCACAUCUCCAGGAAGUGGAAAAUUCAUCCCCAUGACUGUGUGCAAAAUGCAUGCCCUGAAGUGCAAUGGGAAGAAUUUUGAAAUAGCCGAAUACAGCAACUGCGUGUGGCCUCGGCGCAGCGCUCCGGACUGCAGCUCCUGCCACAUGUGGGAGAAAUGUGAUGAAUCAACCAGCAGCUGUCGCUGUAAGGAGCUUGCAGACUGUUUGAACGCUGUCAUAAAGGUGUGCGUCCGCGUUGGUGAGGAUGACACGGCGUCCAUGCAGACCAUGAGUGAGUGUGAAGCAGGAGUUCGACAAUGCAACGGAGAAAAGGUGUCUGUUAUCAGCAUCCGGCCCUGUGCUUCCUGAGGAUUCAGAGAACUGACAACCAUGUUUCCUUUCCUUUGUAAUCCACAUGUACUUUUUUAUUUGAAGGACCUUAACAUGCAUGUAUCCUUAGGAGGCAAUAAAACUCAGCAGGCCUCUCCCUGUUCA